Molecule: ribosomal RNA, 447 nt
Filed under: uncultured bacterium
Lineage: Bacteria
Description: partial 16S ribosomal RNA
Rfam family: Bacterial small subunit ribosomal RNA
Source: RNAcentral
AGCGAACGCUGGCGGCAGGCUUAACACAUGCAAGUCGAACGCCCCGCAAGGGGAGUGGCAGACGGGUGAGUAACACGUGGGAACGUACCCUUUGGUUCGGAAUAACUUGGGGAAACUCAAGCUAAUACCGGAUAAGCCCUUAUGGGGAAAGGUUUACUGCCGAAGGAUCGGCCCGCGUCUGAUUAGCUAGUUGGUGAGGUAAUGGCGCACCAAGGCGACGAUCAGUAGCUGGGCUGAGAGGAUGAUCAGCCACACUGGGACUGAGACACGGCCCAGACUCCUGCGGGAGGCAGCAGUGGGGAAUAUUGGACAAUGGGGGCAACCCUGAUCCAGCCAUGCCGCGUGAGUGAUGAAGGCCUUAGGGUUGUAAAGCUCUUUUACCCGGGACGAUAAUGACUGUACCGGGAGAAUAAGCCCCGGCUAACUUCGUGCCAGCCGCCGCCGUAA